RNAcentral lists this signal recognition particle RNA (320 nucleotides) under Cervus elaphus hippelaphus. It matches the Rfam family "Metazoan signal recognition particle RNA". From Rfam's summary of the family: The signal recognition particle (SRP) is a universally conserved ribonucleoprotein. It is involved in the co-translational targeting of proteins to membranes. The eukaryotic SRP consists of a 300-nucleotide 7S RNA and six proteins: SRPs 72, 68, 54, 19, 14, and 9. Lineage: Eukaryota; Metazoa; Chordata; Mammalia; Artiodactyla; Cervidae. The record is from RNAcentral.
GCCGGGCGCUGUGGCGCGCGCCUGUAAUCCCAGCUACUUGGGAGGCUGAGGCUGGAGGAUCGCUUGAGCUCAGGAGUUCUGGGCUGCAGUGCGCUAUGCCGAUCGGGUGUCCGCACUAAGUUCGGCAUCAAUAUGGUGACCUCCCGGAAGCGGGGGACCACCAGGUUGCCUAAGGAGGGGUGAACCGACCCAGGUCGGAAACGGAGCAGGUCAAAACUCCCGUGCUGAUCAGUAGUGGGAUCGCGCCUGUGAGUAGUCACUGUACUCCAGCCUGGGCAAUAUAGCGAGACCCUGUCUCUUAAAAAAAGAAAAAAAAAAAA